AAAUUCAUUCAGUUAGACAACAUUUUAUUAGUUAGUACAGGCUUGUCUAUAAGGCCAUGUUACGAUGCUAACAAAAACACUUGUAUGUUAGCUUUCCAGUCACACAACACUAUGUAAAACCCUUGUUUGAACUACUCGUAAACAACACAAAAAAUAAAACACUUGUCUAAUUACAACAACGGUUUCUUGAACUAUUGUCUGAAAUUUCUUCACACAUCGGCUCUCAAAACAGUUGUCUAACAUGCAUCAUUACACA
This 256-nucleotide long non-coding RNA is filed under the name Daucus carota (carrot). Its description in RNAcentral is "long non-coding RNA (DCAR_LNC001178)". The record is from RNAcentral. Lineage: Eukaryota; Viridiplantae; Streptophyta; Magnoliopsida; Apiales; Apiaceae.